Molecule: transfer RNA, 71 nt
Filed under: Ovis aries (sheep)
Lineage: Eukaryota; Metazoa; Chordata; Mammalia; Artiodactyla; Bovidae
Rfam family: tRNA
About the family: Transfer RNA (tRNA) molecules are approximately 80 nucleotides in length. Their secondary structure includes four short double-helical elements and three loops (D, anti-codon, and T loops).
Source: Rfam by way of RNAcentral
UCCCAGGUAGCUCAGUGGUAAAGAAUCCACAUAUCAAGCGGGAGAUUCAGGUUCGAUCCCUGGCUUAGGAA